CCUACGGGAGGCAGCAGUCGGGAAUUUUGCGCAAUGGGCGAAAGCCUGACGCAGCAACGCCGCGUGAUUGAUUAAGCCCUUCGGGGUGUAAAGCUCUGUCAGUGGGGACGAAACUUGACGGUACCCACAGAGGAAGCACCGGCUAACUCCGUGCCAGCAGCCGCGGUAAUACGGAGGUUGCAAGCGUUGUCCGGAAUCAUUGGGCGUAAAGAGUUCGUAGGUGGCAUAGUAAGUCUGGUGUUAAAUGAAGGAGCUCAACUUCUGUUCGGCACUGGAUACUGGUAAGCUUGAGUGCGGUAGAGGGAAAGGGAAUUCCUGGUGUAGCGGUGAAAUGCGUAGAUAUCGGGAGGAACAUCGGUGGCGUAAGCGCGUUACUGGGCCUUAAUUGACACUGAGGAACGAAAGCCGGGGGAGCGAAUGGGAUUAGAUACCCCGGUAGUC
This 441-nucleotide ribosomal RNA is filed under the name uncultured bacterium. Its description in RNAcentral is "partial 16S ribosomal RNA". It matches the Rfam family "Bacterial small subunit ribosomal RNA", at positions 338 to 795 of the family's 1533-position model. The record is from RNAcentral.